Long non-coding RNA from Tyto alba (common barn owl), 1156 nucleotides. RefSeq lists it as uncharacterized. The transcript is spliced from 3 exons. The record is from RefSeq and is a predicted model, not a curated record. NCBI's taxonomy places the organism in Eukaryota, Metazoa, Chordata, Aves, Strigiformes, Tytonidae.
AAGCAGAGGAGCUGCGUUGCAGAAUAUUGCCUGUUUCUGGGCACAGCAGGGGGGAAAUUAUCUACCUCUUGGUCAUAACGUUUCUUGAUCUGAACAUCUGAUGUAGUUGCUGAGGCCUGUACACUUGCCUGGAAAUGCAUCUCACAGAGAAGUGAAGGGUACAGCCAUGUACUGGAGGGCUUGACAUUCUCUGGCUAUUCUUGGUUCAAGUAAUCUGGAAAUAGCUUAAUGGAUUACUGUAAAAAUGCUGGAGAAAAACAGCCUUUUAACGGUUUCUCUCGAAUGCAGAGGGCUUCAGGGGUGGGUAUAGGUUUUGCUUCCCAAUUUGUUAUUUGCUAUCUCUGGUUGUAGGAAAAUCAAAGGAAAGGCAAGCCCUGGAGAGGCCGCCUCUGUAGCAAAGUAACGUGGAGCAUUUUCUGUAGGCAUGUGCAGUCAUGGUACAGGAUGUGUCUUGAGUUCAUGUUUUUUUUUUUCCUCCAGAACAUCUGCCUUUCCCUCCUUCAUCCGUCUGCGGAAUCAGGCCCCUGCUUGUGAAGAGCCCGGCAGAGGGCCAUGAGCAAGAGAGAGUCCCCGAGGCAGGGGGUUGUAGCACUGCAACUUGCCUGGCAGCUGGUAAAGCAGCCCGCAGAAAUUGGGAACACCUUAGUGAUUCACACAUCCUCGCAGCAGCUCCUGCCAGCAGAGCCGCUGGAGAGGCCCCAGCAGAGGCAGAGGUGGAUUCCACCCUAGAGAUUUUGCAAGUACACGGAGAUCAGUGUUGGUGUGACUUUGUCAUUACCUCGUCAGUUUAGGAAUUAUUUGCUGCAUCACAUAUGAAAUGAUCCCAAGCCUACACCCUGUAGCUUGCAGAGUACACGAGAUGUUCUCCUUGGACUGUGGUUGUUGAAAUGGAACAUCUGCAUUUCCAAGAGCGACCAAACCCUCCGAAUCAAAGGGCUGUGGUAAUAUAUAGCACAAAAUGAGUGAAAGUAAACAUGAGUGUAACGUUGUUGUAGCAUGUAUUUUUGCUUUAACCCUACAUACUUCUCAUUAGAAAACAAAAACAAAGAUGUAGGCAGCUGUGGACAAGAAAAAGCAAAAUGUAAAAUGCCAUUUUUUUUUUUCUCCGAAUAAAGCAAGAUAGCAAGUAGUAAAUAUCCAAGAUCUAAUAGCUCAA